RNAcentral lists this ribosomal RNA (383 nucleotides) under uncultured eukaryote. RNAcentral's name for it is "partial 18S ribosomal RNA". It matches the Rfam family "Eukaryotic small subunit ribosomal RNA", at positions 592 to 976 of the family's 1831-position model. The record is from RNAcentral.
CAAUAGCGUAUAUUAAAGCUGUUGCAGUUAAAAAGCUCGUAGUUGGAUUUCUGGUGGGAGCGAUCGGUCUGGCGCUUAGCGCGAGUACUUGCAUCGUCUCCGGCCAUCCUUGGGGAGAGUCUGUCUGGCAUUAAGUUGUCGGGCAGAGGAUCCUCAUCGUUUACUGUGAAAAAAUUAGAGUGUUCAAAGCAGGCUUAUGCCGUUGAAUAUAUUAGCAUGGAAUAAUAAGAUAGGACUUUGGUACUAUUUUGUUGGUUUGCGCACCAAAGUAAUGAUUAAUAGGGACAGUUGGGGGUAUUCGUAUUCCGUUGUCAGAGGUGAAAUUCUUGGAUUUACGGAAGACGAACUACUGCGAAAGCAUUUACCAAGGAUGUUUUCAUUAA